UUAGGUAUGUUGAUGAUGAAAUCCUGUAGGCAGCUGGAAAUGUGAUGGAACUGGGGAGCACGUUCGGGAACCCUCAGCAGGUGUUGAAGCCACGGAGUGUGGGAGAGCUUCCAGCCCCCCCGGUACAUAGUUGUAUAUUCUUCGUCGUGGGUCCUUCUAGUUGUGGUAUGUGGGAUGCCGCCUCAGCGUGGUUUGAUGAGCAGUGUCAUGUCCGCGCCCAGGAUUCGAACCAACGAAACACUGGGCCGCCUGCAGCGGAGUGCGCGAACUUAACCACUCGGCCACGGGGCCGGCCCCUCAAAUCAAACAAUUUAAAUCCACAUGUGAUGGAAGAAAACAGAUGUCUCAAGGUCUCCUGCAACAGGCGGUCCUCUGGAUGGAAGAUGCGAUCACUUCAGUCACUGAGAAAGGACUCCAUUAUAAGUGAAUUUACUUGCAGAUGUUCCAAGAAAUUUGUGUCACCAAGAAUCUGGUCUUCCCUGGGGAUGGGGCCUCCCAAAGUUGAGAAAGGUGUAGGCUACCGCCAUUUUCUGAGGUUCUGGGUAUAUUAAAAAUUGGACAAAUGUUAAAAGAUGGUUAUAAAACUUGUGGUAUAUUUUAAUUGUUUGCCUUGAACUAAUUGAUGCUUCUAACAUAUAAAAC
RNAcentral lists this long non-coding RNA (642 nucleotides) under Equus asinus (donkey). Its description in RNAcentral is "lncRNA (ENSEASG00005033686.1)". The record is from RNAcentral. Lineage: Eukaryota; Metazoa; Chordata; Mammalia; Perissodactyla; Equidae.